RNAcentral lists this ribosomal RNA (455 nucleotides) under Streptococcus sp. oral taxon C56. Its description in RNAcentral is "bacterial SSU rRNA". It matches the Rfam family "Bacterial small subunit ribosomal RNA", at positions 28 to 469 of the family's 1533-position model. Lineage: Bacteria; Bacillati; Bacillota; Bacilli; Lactobacillales; Streptococcaceae. The record is from RNAcentral.
GACGAACGCUGGCGGCGUGCCUAAUACAUGCAAGUAGAACGCUGAAGGAGGAGCUUGCUCUUCUGGAUGAGUUGCGAACGGGUGAGUAACGCGUAGGUAACCUGCCUGGUAGUGGGGGAUAACUAUUGGAAACGAUAGCUAAUACCGCAUAAUAACAGUUGUUGCAUGACAACUGAUUGAAAGGUGCAAUUGCAUCACUACCAGAUGGACCUGCGUUGUAUUAGCUAGUUGGUGGGGUAACGGCUCACCAAGGCGACGAUACAUAGCCGACCUGAGAGGGUGAUCGGCCACACUGGGACUGAGACACGGCCCAGACUCCUACGGGAGGCAGCAGUAGGGAAUCUUCGGCAAUGGACGGAAGUCUGACCGAGCAACGCCGCGUGAGUGAAGAAGGUUUUCGGAUCGUAAAGCUCUGUUGUAAGAGAAGAACGAGUGUGAGAGUGGAAAGUUCACAC